ACUAGAGUGUAAGAGAGGGUGAUGGAAUUCCCAGUGUAGGGGUAAAAUCCGUAGAUAUUGGGAGGAACACCGGAGGCGAAGGCGGUCACCUGGCUUACAACUGACACUCAUCCUCGAGAGCAUGGGUAGCAAACAGGAUUAGAUACCCUGGUAGUCUAUGCUUGUAAACGAUGGACACUAGAUGUUGUGGGAUUUGAUCCCUGCAGUAUCGUUAGUUAACGCGUUAAGUGUCCCGCCUGGGGAAUACGGUCGCAAGAUUUAAACUCAAAGAAAUUGACGGGGGCCCGCACAAGCGGUGGAGCAUGUGGUUCAAUUCGAGGCAACGCGAAAAACCUUACCUGGGCUUGACAUCCUGCUUUAAAUCAUAGAGAUAUGGUCUAGUCUUCGGACAAGGCAGGACAGGUGCUGCAUGGCUGUCGUCAGCUCGUGUCGUGAGAUGUUGGGUUAAGUCCUGCAACGAGCGCAACCCUUUAUCAUUAGUUGCCAUCAUUAAGUUGGGUACUCUAAUGAGACUGCCGGUGUUAAACCGGAGGAAGGUGGGGAUGACGUCAAGUCAUCACGGCCCUUAUGUCCAGGGCUACACACGUGCUACAAUGGUCGGUACAAAGAGCUGCAAACCCGCAAGGGGGAGCUAAUCUCAAAAAGCCGAUCUCAGUUCGGAUCGGAGUCUGCAAUUUGACUUCGUGAAGCUGGAAUCGCUAGUAAUCGCGAAUCAGCAUGUCGCGGUGAAUACGUUCCCGGGCNUUGUACACACCGCCCGUCACACCACGAAAGUUUAUUGUACCAGAAGAGGUGAAGCUACUUGUGAGG
Molecule: ribosomal RNA, 810 nt
Filed under: uncultured organism
Description: bacterial SSU rRNA
Rfam family: Bacterial small subunit ribosomal RNA
Source: RNAcentral